RNAcentral lists this unclassified non-coding RNA (370 nucleotides) under uncultured Chloroflexota bacterium. Its description in RNAcentral is "uncultured Chloroflexi bacterium contains 16S-23S intergenic spacer region". The record is from RNAcentral. Lineage: Bacteria; Bacillati; Chloroflexota.
UCCUCCUUGUGGGAGACUGUCCCUCCAGAGAAAACAACUGGAAGCGAGGGUUGCGCUCGUUGCAAGACUUAACCCAACACCUCACGGCACAAGCUGACAACAGCCAUGCAACACCUGUGCAAAUUCCGGAUUGGAUACCGGUCGUCGCCCUUUCGAGUCCCUACUUCUUGCAUGUCAAGCCCUGGUAAGGUUCUGCGUUUUGCAUCGAAUUAAACCACACGCUCCACCGCUUGUGCGGGCCCCCGUCAAUUCCUUUGAGUUUUAGCCUUGCGGCCGUAGUCCCCAGGCGGAGUACUUAACGCGUUAGCUUCGGCACGGAAAAAGUCGAUACCCCCCAUACCCAGUACUCAUAGUUUAGGGCGUGGACUAC